AGCGUACACGGUGGAUGCCCUGGCAGUCAGAGGCGAUGAAGGACGUGCUAAUCUGCGAUAAGCGUCGGUGAGGUGAUAUGAACCGUUAUAACCGGCGAUUUCCGAAUGGGGAAACCCAGUGUGUUUCGACACACUAUCAUUAACUGAAUCCAUAGGUUAAUGAGGCGAACCGGGGGAACUGAAACAUCUAAGUACCCCGAGGAAAAGAAAUCAACCGAGAUUCCCCCAGUAGCGGCGAGCGAACGGGGAGGAGCCCAGAGCCUGAAUCAGUGUGUGUGUUAGUGGAAGCGUCUGGAAAGGCGCGCGAUACAGGGUGACAGCCCCGUACACAAAAAUGCACAUAUUGUGAGCUCGAUGAGUAGGGCGGGACACGUGGUAUCCUGUCUGAAUAUGGGGGGACCAUCCUCCAAGGCUAAAUACUCCUGACUGACCGAUAGUGAACCAGUACCGUGAGGGAAAGGCGAAAAGAACCCCGGCGAGGGGAGUGAAAAAGAACCUGAAACCGUGUACGUACAAGCAGUGGGAGCCUCUUAAUGGGGUGACUGCGUACCUUUUGUAUAAUGGGUCAGCGACUUAUAUUCUGUAGCAAGGUUAACCGAAUAGGGGAGCCGAAGGGAAACCGAGUCUUAACUGGGCGUUAAGUUGCAGGGUAUAGACCCGAAACCCGGUGAUCUAGCCAUGGGCAGGUUGAAGGUUGGGUAACACUAACUGGAGGACCGAACCGACUAAUGUUGAAAAAUUAGCGGAUGACUUGUGGCUGGGGGUGAAAGGCCAAUCAAACCGGGAGAUAGCUGGUUCUCCCCGAAAGCUAUUUAGGUAGCGCCUCGUGAAUUCAUCUCCGGGGGUAGAGCACUGUUUCGGCAAGGGGGUCAUCCCGACUUACCAACCCGAUGCAAACUGCGAAUACCGGAGAAUGUUAUCACGGGAGACACACGGCGGGUGCUAACGUCCGUCGUGAAGAGGGAAACAACCCAGACCGCCAGCUAAGGUCCCAAAGUCAUGGUUAAGUGGGAAACGAUGUGGGAAGGCCCAGACAGCCAGGAUGUUGGCUUAGAAGCAGCCAUCAUUUAAAGAAAGCGUAAUAGCUCACUGGUCGAGUCGGCCUGCGCGGAAGAUGUAACGGGGCUAAACCAUGCACCGAAGCUGCGGCAGCGACGCUUAUGCGUUGUUGGGUAGGGGAGCGUUCUGUAAGCCUGUGAAGGUGUGCUGUGAGGCAUGCUGGAGGUAUCAGAAGUGCGAAUGCUGACAUAAGUAACGAUAAAGCGGGUGAAAAGCCCGCUCGCCGGAAGACCAAGGGUUCCUGUCCAACGUUAAUCGGGGCAGGGUGAGUCGACCCCUAAGGCGAGGCCGAAAGGCGUAGUCGAUGGGAAACAGGUUAAUAUUCCUGUACUUGGUGUUACUGCGAAGGGGGGACGGAGAAGGCUAUGUUGGCCGGGCGACGGUUGUCCCGGUUUAAGCGUGUAGGCUGGUUUUCCAGGCAAAUCCGGAAAACCAAGGCUGAGGCGUGAUGACGAGGCACUACGGUGCUGAAGCGACAAAUGCCCUGCUUCCAGGAAAAGCCUCUAAGCAUCAGGUAACAUCAAAUCGUACCCCAAACCGACACAGGUGGUCAGGUAGAGAAUACCAAGGCGCUUGAGAGAACUCGGGUGAAGGAACUAGGCAAAAUGGUGCCGUAACUUCGGGAGAAGGCACGCUGAUAUGUAGGUGAAGCGACUUGCUCGUGGAGCUGAAAUCAGUCGAAGAUACCAGCUGGCUGCAACUGUUUAUUAAAAACACAGCACUGUGCAAACACGAAAGUGGACGUAUACGGUGUGACGCCUGCCCGGUGCCGGAAGGUUAAUUGAUGGGGUUAGCGGUAACGCGAAGCUCUUGAUCGAAGCCCCGGUAAACGGCGGCCGUAACUAUAACGGUCCUAAGGUAGCGAAAUUCCUUGUCGGGUAAGUUCCGACCUGCACGAAUGGCGUAAUGAUGGCCAGGCUGUCUCCACCCGAGACUCAGUGAAAUUGAACUCGCUGUGAAGAUGCAGUGUACCCGCGGCAAGACGGAAAGACCCCGUGAACCUUUACUAUAGCUUGACACUGAACAUUGAGCCUUGAUGUGUAGGAUAGGUGGGAGGCUUUGAAGUGUGGACGCCAGUCUGCAUGGAGCCGACCUUGAAAUACCACCCUUUAAUGUUUGAUGUUCUAACGUGGGCCCCUAAUCGGGGUUGCGGACAGUGUCUGGUGGGUAGUUUGACUGGGGCGGUCUCCUCCUAAAGAGUAACGGAGGAGCACGAAGGUUGGCUAAUCCUGGUCGGACAUCAGGAGGUUAGUGCAAUGGCAUAAGCCAGCUUGACUGCGAGCGUGACGGCGCGAGCAGGUGCGAAAGCAGGUCAUAGUGAUCCGGUGGUUCUGAAUGGAAGGGCCAUCGCUCAACGGAUAAAAGGUACUCCGGGGAUAACAGGCUGAUACCGCCCAAGAGUUCAUAUCGACGGCGGUGUUUGGCA
RNAcentral lists this ribosomal RNA (2485 nucleotides) under human gut metagenome. RNAcentral's name for it is "bacterial LSU rRNA". It matches the Rfam family "Bacterial large subunit ribosomal RNA", at positions 14 to 2523 of the family's 2925-position model. The record is from RNAcentral.